UGAAAUCCAAUCCUGGUACUCCGUCGGUU
Molecule: non-coding RNA, 29 nt
Filed under: Bombyx mori (domestic silkworm)
Lineage: Eukaryota; Metazoa; Arthropoda; Insecta; Lepidoptera; Bombycidae
Source: RNAcentral